GUAUUAAACUUUUUUUUUAUCACAUACAAAAACUGGAUCGCGUCAAAAAAAUGACAGUGCACAAGUGUUGAAUUCACAAGAGUGAAGGGGUCGCUCGAAAGCCAACGCCCAAUUCAUUAAUGAUCCUUCCGCAGGUUCACCUACGGAAA
This 149-nucleotide unclassified non-coding RNA is filed under the name uncultured fungus. RNAcentral's name for it is "sequence contains ITS1". Lineage: Eukaryota; Fungi. The record is from RNAcentral.